GGGAUAGCUCAGUUGGAAGAGCAUGAGACUCUUAAUCUCAGGGUUGAGUUUUUGAGCCCCACAUUGGGUUA
This 71-nucleotide transfer RNA is filed under the name Podarcis lilfordi (Lilford's wall lizard). Its description in RNAcentral is "tRNA.Lys". Lineage: Eukaryota; Metazoa; Chordata; Lepidosauria; Squamata; Lacertidae. The record is from RNAcentral.